GAGUUUGAUCUGGCUCAGAACGAACGCUGGCGGCAGGCUUAACACAUGCAAGUCGAGCGCCCCGCAAGGGGAGCGGCAGACGGGUGAGUAACGCGUGGGAACGUACCUUUUGCUACGGAAUAACUCAGGGAAACUUACGCUAAUACCGCAUACGACCUACGGGUGAAAGCAGGGGAUCUUCGGACCUUGCGCGAUUGAAUGAGCCGAUGCCCGAUUAGCUAGUUGGCGGGGUAAGAGCCCACCAAGGCGACGAUCGGUAGCUGGUCUGAGAGGAUGAUCAGCCACACUGGAACUGAGACACGGUCCAGACUCCUACGGGAGGCAGCAGUGGGGAAUAUUGGACAAUGGGCGCAAGCCUGAUCCAGCCAUACCGCGUGGGUGAAGAAGGCCUUCGGAUUGUAAAGCCCUUUUGUUGGGAAAGAAAAGCAUUCGGUUAAUACCCGAUUGUUCUGACGGUACCCAAAGAAUAAGCACCGGCUAACUUCGUGCCAGCAGCCGCGGUAAUACGAAGGGUGCAAGCGUUACUCGGAAUUACUGGGCGUAAAGCGUGCGUAGGUGGUUGUUUAAGUCUGUCGUGAAAGCCCUGGGCUCAACCUGGGAAUUGCGAUGGAAACUGGGCGACUAGAGUGUGGCAGAGGGUAGUGGAAUUCCUGGUGUAGCAGUGAAAUGCGUAGAGAUCAGGAGGAACAUCCGUGGCGAAAGCGACUGCCUGGGCCAACACUGACACUGAGGCACGAAAGCGUGGGGAGCAAACAGGGUUAGAUACCCUGGUAGUCCACGCCCUAAACGAUGCGAACUGGAUGUUGGGUGCAAUUUGGCACGCAGUAUCGAAGCUAACGCGUUAAGUUCGCCGGCCUGGGGGGAGUACGGUCGCAAGACUGAAACUCAAAGGGAAUUGACGGGGGCCCGCACAGCGGUGGAGUAUGUGGUUUUAAAUUCGAAUGCAACGCCGAGGGAACCUUACCUUGACU
Molecule: ribosomal RNA, 971 nt
Filed under: uncultured bacterium
Lineage: Bacteria
Description: bacterial SSU rRNA
Rfam family: Bacterial small subunit ribosomal RNA
Source: RNAcentral